UGGGGAAUUUUGGACAAUGGGCGAAAGCCUGAUCCAGCAAUGCCGCGUGUGUGAAGAAGGCCUUCGGGUUGUAAAGCACUUUUGUCCGGAAAGAAAUGGCUCUGGUUAAUACCUGGGGUCGAUGACGGUACCGGAAGAAUAAGGACCGGCUAACUACGUGCCAGCAGCCGCGGUAAUACGUAGGGUCCAAGCGUUAAUCGGAAUUACUGGGCGUAAAGCGUGCGCAGGCGGUUGUGCAAGACCGAUGUGAAAUCCCCGAGCUUAACUUGGGAAUUGCAUUGGUGACUGCACGGCUAGAGUGUGUCAGAGGGGGGUAGAAUUCCACGUGUAGCAGUGAAAUGCGUAGAGAUGUGGAGGAAUACCGAUGGCGAAGGCAGCCCCCUGGGAUAACACAGACGCUCAUGCACGAAAGCGUGGGGAGCAAACAGG
This 429-nucleotide ribosomal RNA is filed under the name bacterium. Its description in RNAcentral is "partial 16S ribosomal RNA". It matches the Rfam family "Bacterial small subunit ribosomal RNA", at positions 355 to 776 of the family's 1533-position model. RNAcentral also lists the same sequence under 1 other name. The record is from RNAcentral.